Molecule: transfer RNA, 62 nt
Filed under: Spinactaletes boneti
Lineage: Eukaryota; Metazoa; Arthropoda; Collembola; Entomobryomorpha; Actaletidae
Description: tRNA-Thr
Source: RNAcentral
GUCCUUAUAGUUUAAAAAAAACAUGGGUUUUGUAAACCUGAGAUUAUGCCUAUAUUAGGACU